CCUACGGGGGACAGCAGUGAGGAAUAUUGGUCAAUGGCCGCAGGGCUGAACCAGCCAAGUCGCGUGAGGGAUGACGGUCCUAUGGAUUGUAAACCUCUUUUGUCAGGGAGCAAAGGGCGCCACGUGUGGCGCUUUGCGAGUACCUGAAGAAAAAGCAUCGGCUAACUCCGUGCCAGCAGCCGCGGUAAUACGGAGGAUGCGAGCGUUAUCCGGAUUUAUUGGGUUUACAGGGUGCGCAGGCGGAAUGUCAAGUCAGCGGUAAAAUUUCGGGGCUCAACCCCGUCGUGCCGUUGAAACUGGCGUUCUUGAGUGAGCGAGAAGUAUGCGGAAUGCGUGGUGUAGCGGUGAAAUGCAUAGAUAUCACGCAGAACUCCGAUUGCGAAGGCAGCAUACCGGCGCUCAACUGACGCUCAUGCACGAAAGCGUGGGUAUCGAACAGGAUUAGAUACCCCAGUAGUC
This 459-nucleotide ribosomal RNA is filed under the name uncultured bacterium. RNAcentral's name for it is "partial 16S ribosomal RNA". It matches the Rfam family "Bacterial small subunit ribosomal RNA", at positions 338 to 795 of the family's 1533-position model. The record is from RNAcentral.